Molecule: ribosomal RNA, 489 nt
Filed under: uncultured Glomus
Lineage: Eukaryota; Fungi; Glomeromycota; Glomeromycetes; Glomerales; Glomeraceae
Description: SSU rRNA
Rfam family: Eukaryotic small subunit ribosomal RNA
Source: RNAcentral
AGCAGCCGCGGUAAUUCCAGCUCCAAUAGCGUAUAUUAAAGUUGUUGCAGUUAAAAAGCUCGUAGUUGAAUUUCGGGAUCAAUAUAUCGGUCGUGCCUUGGUACGUACUGGUAUCAUUGGUUUCUCCUUUCUGACGAACCAUGAUGUCAUUAAUUUGGUGUUAUGGGAAGUUAGGACUGUUACUUUGAAAAAAUUAGAGUGUUUAAAGCAGGCUUUAGCUUGAAUACAUUAGCAUGGAAUAAUGAAAUAGGACGUUCGAACCUAUUUUGUUGGUUUCUAGGAUCAACGUAAUGAUUAAUAGGGAUAGUUGGGGGCAUUAGUAUUCAAUUGUCAGAGGUGAAAUUCUUGGAUUUAUUGAAGACUAACUACUGCGAAAGCAUUUGCCAAGGAUGUUUUCAUUAAUCAAGAACGAAAGUUAGGGGAUCGAAGACGAUCAGAUACCGUCGUAGUCUUAACCAUAAACUAUGCCGACUAGGGAUCGGAUGAUGU